AGGAGAAAGAUCCCUUAUAAUAAUAAAGAAAGUUAAACUUUCGCUCUUAGAAGUUUGUAUCUCGUGUGUGGUAGUAGUCAGGAUUAAAAGCCUAACUAGCUAAACGCACGCAGUCGUAACCGAAAGGUUGAUCGACCACAGUGGGCCUGAACAAAGCCCAUGACGAUUGUCACAGCAGUGAGGAAUAUUGGUCAAUAGCCUAACGGCUGAACCAGCAACUUGGAGGAAUGUAUAGCAAUAGCUACUUGUAUCAUUGUAGAUAUGAUGCAAGAUCGACUUGGUCGAAUAAAAUUCUAGGUAGAAUUAUGAUAAUGACAUUGUCUGCCUAUGUGUCUUGACCAAAUUACGUGCCAGCUGUCGCGGUAAUACGUAGAAGACUAGUGUUAUUCAUGUUUAGUCGGUUUAAAGGGUACCUAGACGGUAAAUCAAGCCUACAAAUAAAUGAAGGGACUAUUUUGCUAGAGUUACUUACGAGGGGGUUUUAAAGUACUGCUGGUGUAGAGAUGAAAUUCUGUAAUACCUCUUUUCAAUUGAAAAAUAAUGGCACAGGUAUAGGCGAAGGCAUCCCCUUAUGUGAUAACUGACGUUGAGGGACGAAGGCUUUGUGUAGCGAACAGGAUUAGAUACCCCAGUAGUCAAAGCAGAAAAUGAUGAAUGUCAUAGAUUAGACGUCUAAGUUUAUUCUAUAAAUGAAAGUGUAAGCAUUCCACCUCAAGAGUAAUUUGGCAACAUUGGAACUGAAAUCAUUAGACCGUUUCUGAAACCAGUAGUGAAGUAUGUUGUUUAAUUUGAUGCCACGCAAAAAACCUUACCACAAUUUGAAUAUUUAUAUUUUUUUUUUUAUUAUUGUUUUAUUUUUAAUUUUCUUAAAGGACUAGGAAAGAAUUAUAUUAAAUUAGAUUAUUAAAAAUAAAGGCAAUAAGAUAUAUUUACAAGUGUUGCACGGCUGUCUUCAGUUAAUGUCGCGAGACUCUGGUUAGUUCCAUGAAAUUAACGUAAACCCUUACUUUAUUUUUUAUAUAGAGUAGUUCCCCGCUAUAUUGGAUUUGAUAACAGGGACUAAGACAAGUCAUCA
Molecule: ribosomal RNA, 1075 nt
Filed under: Bryoria tenuis
Lineage: Eukaryota; Fungi; Ascomycota; Lecanoromycetes; Lecanorales; Parmeliaceae
Description: SSU rRNA
Rfam family: Bacterial small subunit ribosomal RNA
Source: RNAcentral